CUUUGUUUGUUAAGAGAGGACUCUUGUUAAAACUUGUGUAAGUUUAUGUGUUCAAUCUUAUGUUAUGGAGCCCAAACUUAUGUUAUGCUAAGCACUCUUAUGUUUAUCAAUUAGUACCAAUUGGUACUCUAUGUUUAGACUUUCAUCAUCAACCAUUAUUCUAAUAAACUAAUUUCCUAGACAUUAUCAAUAGGUACUCUCUUAAACUAAUUUCCUAGACUUUAUCAAUUGGUACUCUCCUAGACUCUCACUCGACCUACACAAUAAAAGUAAUAGCAUCCACAACAAAGAUCGCAUAUAUAGUCAUAACAUAGUUAAAAGUUCUAAAUCCACAUCACAAACAAGAAACACAUCAAAAGACAUCGUUUGUCUACUUCAUAAAAAACAUAAAACAAAGUUCUAACACACCAAGCAAGUGAGGCAUCUCUACUUCACUUCUUCCUGCGUUUCUGUUUCUUUGCUUUCUCUUGUGCUGGUGCUUCUUCUUCUGCUGCUUUAGCUUGUGCCUCCUUCACAAACUCCUCAAACGGGGCCAAUCUCCCAUCCAAUUGGUCAACCUUCUUGUCAACUGUCCUCAUCAGUUUCAUCGUUCUUUUCAGCAACUUCAUAACAUCUCCCAGUUGAAUCGACU
Molecule: long non-coding RNA, 631 nt
Filed under: Brassica napus (rape)
Lineage: Eukaryota; Viridiplantae; Streptophyta; Magnoliopsida; Brassicales; Brassicaceae
Description: long non-coding RNA (BNAP_LNC024250)
Source: RNAcentral